This 401-nucleotide ribosomal RNA is filed under the name uncultured bacterium. RNAcentral's name for it is "bacterial SSU rRNA". It matches the Rfam family "Bacterial small subunit ribosomal RNA", at positions 354 to 772 of the family's 1533-position model. The record is from RNAcentral.
GUGGGGAAUCUUAGACAAUGGGCGCAAGCCUGAUCUAGCCAUGCCGCGUGAGCGACGAAGGCCUUAGGGUUGUAAAGCUCUUUCAGUGGGGACGAUAAUGACUGUACCCACAGAAGAAGCCCCGGCUAACUCCGUGCCAGCAGCCGCGGUAAUACGGAGGGGGCUAGCGUUGUUCGGAAUUACUGGGCGUAAAGCGCACGUAGGCGGACGGAGAAGUCAGAGGUGAAAUCCCAGGGCUCAACCUUGGAACUGCCUUUGAAACUUUCUGUCUUGAGGUCGAGAGAGGUGAGUGGAAUUCCGAGUGUAGAGGUGAAAUUCGUAGAUAUUCGGAGGAACACCAGUGGCGAAGGCGGCUCACUGGCUCGAUACUGACGCUGAGGUGCGAAAGCGUGGGGAGCAAA